Molecule: long non-coding RNA, 221 nt
Filed under: Rosa chinensis
Lineage: Eukaryota; Viridiplantae; Streptophyta; Magnoliopsida; Rosales; Rosaceae
Description: sRNA RchiOBHm_Chr1g0347061
Source: RNAcentral
GCCAGUUUACUUGGAUCAAGAAGCUUCCAACAGCCAAUAAGAGGAUAUGAAAAGCUGGUGAUCUGUCACCGAUGUCGUAUGGACUGAAUGACAGCUGCCGGUGCAAUCACUUCCUUGGAAGAAGUUGGAGACAUAUCCUUACCAACUCAACAAAACCUUUAGGAGUAAUGGUCUCUUGAAGUCUCGAGGAGUGUUCCCAGAAGCACGUUGGUACUGGAUUG